UGGCUGAUGAUGAAAACCAUAAUCUUAGCGGAUUUCAAUGAGGCUCGUCUUGUCGAUGAUCUCAUAUGUUACACACACUGAGGCCU
Nymphaea colorata (pocket water lily) is the source of this 86-nucleotide small nucleolar RNA. RefSeq annotates it as small nucleolar RNA R11/Z151. The record is from RefSeq and is a predicted model, not a curated record. The transcript has a single exon. Lineage: Eukaryota; Viridiplantae; Streptophyta; Magnoliopsida; Nymphaeales; Nymphaeaceae.